Molecule: ribosomal RNA, 276 nt
Filed under: Triticum aestivum (bread wheat)
Lineage: Eukaryota; Viridiplantae; Streptophyta; Magnoliopsida; Poales; Poaceae
Description: partial small subunit ribosomal RNA
Source: RNAcentral
UAUGCAUUCCUACCCCAUGGGGAACGUUACUUCACCAUGGGGCUGGCUGCUAUAUGCUGGGCAAUCAGGAACUGCAGAAAUCGUGCUACUUUUGAGCAUAAGAAACUGUCAUCUCCUUUUGAGAUUGUCUUCACAACUUGUGUGCAUCUGAACUAUUGGGCAGGACUCUUGAAGGGCGCGGAACGGGAGGAGCUGGAGCAUGGUGCGCUGAUGUUGAAGAAUACCGCUAAGAGGAUGAUGAGUCUAUGCGCCACAGCGCACACUGAGAGUGCCUAA